This 1369-nucleotide ribosomal RNA is filed under the name uncultured bacterium. Its description in RNAcentral is "bacterial SSU rRNA". It matches the Rfam family "Bacterial small subunit ribosomal RNA", at positions 28 to 1381 of the family's 1533-position model. The record is from RNAcentral.
GACGAACGCUGGUGGCGUGCCUAAUACAUGCAAGUAGAACGCUGAAGAGAGGAGCUUGCUCUUCUUGGAUGAGUUGCGAACGGGUGAGUAACGCGUAGGUAACCUGCCUUGUAGCGGGGGAUAACUAUUGGAAACGAUAGCUAAUACCGCAUAACAAUGGAUGACACAUGUCAUUUAUUUGAAAGGGGCAAUUGCUCCACUACAAGAUGGACCUGCGUUGUAUUAGCUAGUAGGUGAGGUAAUGGCUCACCUAGGCGACGAUACAUAGCCGACCUGAGAGGGUGAUCGGCCACACUGGGACUGAGACACGGCCCAGACUCCUACGGGAGGCAGCAGUAGGGAAUCUUCGGCAAUGGGGGCAACCCUGACCGAGCAACGCCGCGUGAGUGAAGAAGGUUUUCGGAUCGUAAAGCUCUGUUGUAAGUCAAGAACGGGUGUGAGAGUGGAAAGUUCACACUGUGACGGUAGCUUACCAGAAAGGGACGGCUAACUACGUGCCAGCAGCCGCGGUAAUACGUAGGUCCCGAGCGUUGUCCGGAUUUAUUGGGCGUAAAGCGAGCGCAGGCGGUUUGAUAAGUCUGAAGUUAAAGGCUGUGGCUCAACCAUAGUUCGCUUUGGAAACUGUCAAACUUGAGUGCAGAAGGGGAGAGUGGAAUUCCAUGUGUAGCGGUGAAAUGCGUAGAUAUAUGGAGGAACACCGGUGGCGAAAGCGGCUCUCUGGUCUGUAACUGACGCUGAGGCUCGAAAGCGUGGGGAGCGAACAGGAUUAGAUACCCUGGUAGUCCACGCCGUAAACGAUGAGUGCUAGGUGUUGGAUCCUUUCCGGGAUUCAGUGCCGCAGCUAACGCAUUAAGCACUCCGCCUGGGGAGUACGACCGCAAGGUUGAAACUCAAAGGAAUUGACGGGGGCCCGCACAAGCGGUGGAGCAUGUGGUUUAAUUCGAAGCAACGCGAAGAACCUUACCAGGUCUUGACAUCCCGAUGCUAUUUCUAGAGAUAGAAAGUUACUUCGGUACAUCGGUGACAGGUGGUGCAUGGUUGUCGUCAGCUCGUGUCGUGAGAUGUUGGGUUAAGUCCCGCAACGAGCGCAACCCCUAUUGUUAGUUGCCAUCAUUCAGUUGGGCACUCUAGCGAGACUGCCGGUAAUAAACCGGAGGAAGGUGGGGAUGACGUCAAAUCAUCAUGCCCCUUAUGACCUGGGCUACACACGUGCUACAAUGGUUGGUACAACGAGUUGCGAGUCGGUGACGGCGAGCUAAUCUCUUAAAGCCAAUCUCAGUUCGGAUUGUAGGCUGCAACUCGCCUACAUGAAGUCGGAAUCGCUAGUAAUCGCGGAUCAGCACGCCGCGGUGAAUACGUUCCCGGGCCU